GGCUCCAUAGUGUCUUGGUUAGCACAUCUGCUUUAUAUGCAGAAGGUCCUGGGUUUGCACUCCAGGUGGAACCA
Pteropus alecto (black flying fox) is the source of this 74-nucleotide non-coding RNA. Lineage: Eukaryota; Metazoa; Chordata; Mammalia; Chiroptera; Pteropodidae. The record is from Rfam.